UACGUAGGGUGCGAGCGUUGUCCGGAAUUACUGGGCGUAAAGAGCUCGUAGGCGGUUUGUCGCGUCGUCCGUGAAAACUUGGGGCUCAACCCCAAGCUUGCGGGCGAUACGGGCAGACUUGAGUACUGCAGGGGAGACUGGAAUUCCUGGUGUAGCGGUGAAAUGCGCAGAUAUCAGGAGGAACACCGGUGGCGAAGGCGGGUCUCUGGGCAGUAACUGACGCUGAGGAGCGAAAGCGUGGGUAG
Molecule: ribosomal RNA, 245 nt
Filed under: uncultured bacterium
Lineage: Bacteria
Description: partial 16S ribosomal RNA
Rfam family: Bacterial small subunit ribosomal RNA
Source: RNAcentral